Molecule: small nuclear RNA, 125 nt
Organism: Vombatus ursinus (common wombat)
Lineage: Eukaryota; Metazoa; Chordata; Mammalia; Diprotodontia; Vombatidae
Source: Ensembl
GGAUGCAAUGGGAGACCAGGUUAGCAACUCCCGUGAUAAAAAUGGAAGAGGUCCUAGUGGCUUUUAUAGCACAUACAUAGUUAAGGCAUUGCCACCUACUCUGUGGCAUCUAAUUGGCUACUAGG